Molecule: long non-coding RNA, 1416 nt
Organism: Oryzias melastigma (Indian medaka)
Lineage: Eukaryota; Metazoa; Chordata; Actinopteri; Beloniformes; Adrianichthyidae
Exons: 2
Source: RefSeq, a predicted model, not a curated record
UCUUUAAUAUGCCAAAUUUAGCAUUUUUUUAUUUGUUAAAAAAUUCUGGCUGAAUAGUAGCCAAAGUUAGACUUUUUUCAGUCUCUAAAAUCCCUCUAGUCAGUCUGCUAAUGUCAUACCUUGACGGCUAAACCAGACACCCCCAGAUGAAUACAGGGACUCUCAGAUUGCUCAUUAUUAAACUCUGUUUUGGUUCAAGUAGCAGUCAGUAAUUACAUUUUAAGAUUAAAGAUCAAGAUAGAGCCCAAUCCCAGCCAUAAAUCUUCACUCAGACUACUAUGAUCCCAAAUGAUGACUUUUUCUGGAAAUCAUAUUUGUGUCCUAACAGGUCGCGAGAACAAUCUAGCCUCUCCCCGCCACACGUCCAAGCUCCCCCUUUGAAGACUGUGAGAGCAGCACUGCGACAGACUCGGGUUUCCUCUUUAAAGUGACUCACUGGCUAUCUAUCACAAGUGUCCGUAUUACCCAGUCAAGUCUCUGACAGUCUUUUAUGAAUGGACAUCCGAUAGAUCAGAAUCAGAUUUGACGAUGCCCAUCAAAAGACUGUCUGUGGUUCAAGUUCAACAGCACCGUGGCAACAAGGGGAAAACGAGGAGUAAAAGAGGCAAAAAAGACAUUGAAAGGAGGAGUGACAGAAAGAAAAGGGGCAGUCCCGUAGCUCAUUAAACCUUGGAGGGGGGUGGUGGAGGAGCACUUUCUUUCUUUCUUUAUGUGAGCAGUCGUAACAGAGCCUGCAAAUGGAAAAGGGAGUCGAGGAUGAAAGAAGAAAGAAUCGAGCAAAUCAUCAAGAAGCUAAAAGUGAGCGGGGUCAGACAGUCUUUUAUUUUUCUGCCACUGAUGAGCAUGGAUUUGAGGUGGGGGGGCAUUAGCCAGCUGUGAGAGGCAGACUUUCAGCUGAAUUUGGAAGAUGAAAUGCUCCCACCUCUGACCCGCCGGCUCUGCAGAGACAUGGAUAGCAUGCCACACGUGGGGAUCAUCUGCAGCCUUCAUCGCCCUCUCUCCAAUUACUUAUCUCCCUACUUGUGUCACAAGCAAUCAGCCGACCAGCGUGUCCACACGUCUGCCCGUCUCCCUCAGUCUGUCUCCUAAUUGUCUUUAUCUUUGCUGUUGGGAAAGGUUAAUUUCAAACGUGAGAUGCUCGGCGAGAUGUCUUUUCCCACUGAUUAUGCCACAGCUGAUAAAAGCACAGCGGUGAUGAUAAUCGAAGGGACCUUUUUUUUUUUAUACUUCUUGUUAUGAUUAAAGACGAGCAAUCAAAAAGUGAGAGCUGCGAGCAAUCAAACAGCUGCCCUGCACAGCAUCUGAAGCCCAGGCGUUCAGGUUUCUGUUGUUUGGGCUACUGGGUGGGAAGAUUUACUAGCUUUAGAUAAAGCAGGCUCUUUUUCCCACCAAUACUGCUAAUAAACAGACACAAAA